GCGUCCAUGGUGUAGUGGUAACCCAUCUCCUUGCCAAGGAGGAAUUGCGAGUUCGAUUCUCGCUGGACGCUC
RNAcentral lists this transfer RNA (72 nucleotides) under Pirellula sp. SH-Sr6A. RNAcentral describes it as "tRNA-Gly". It matches the Rfam family "tRNA". Rfam says of the family: Transfer RNA (tRNA) molecules are approximately 80 nucleotides in length. Their secondary structure includes four short double-helical elements and three loops (D, anti-codon, and T loops). Further hydrogen bonds mediate the characteristic L-shaped molecular structure. tRNAs have two regions of fundamental functional importance: the anti-codon, which is responsible for specific mRNA codon recognition, and the 3' end, to which the tRNAs corresponding amino acid is attached (by aminoacyl-tRNA synthetases). tRNAs cope with the degeneracy of the genetic code in two manners: having more than one tRNA (with a specific anti-codon) for a particular amino acid; and 'wobble' base-pairing, i.e. permitting non-standard base-pairing at the 3rd anti-codon position. Lineage: Bacteria; Pseudomonadati; Planctomycetota; Planctomycetia; Pirellulales; Pirellulaceae. The record is from RNAcentral.